This 1018-nucleotide long non-coding RNA is filed under the name Oryzias sinensis (Chinese medaka). Its description in RNAcentral is "lncRNA (ENSOSIG00000019425.1)". Lineage: Eukaryota; Metazoa; Chordata; Actinopteri; Beloniformes; Adrianichthyidae. The record is from RNAcentral.
UAGAGUGUCCAUCCUGAAACUGGAAGUGCAAAUCCAAGAUGGGUCAUGCCAAAUAAUCUAAAGAUGGGACCCAAUCCCUGCUUUUCAAAAUCAGCAUUAAGGGGUUGGAUUGGUGGGUUAAACUACCAAAUAGUUCCCAAGUGCAGCUUUGUCUGCAGCUAAUGGAACUUUAAUGUAAUAAAGAAUAUUCAGAAUUUUCUUUAUAUAUUUCCUUUAUCAUGAGAAAAAUGCAACAAAACCAUUUUUAAAAAGACUAAAACCACAAUUUUUAUUGGAGUGGAUCUUUAAAGCAACACAACAAAGAGAAGAGCUGAUCAUUGAUGUGAACAAAAAGAUGCAAGAAUCAGAAACAAGCAUAAAGGUGCAAUCAAGAAAACAGAACCAGGUGUGGUGAUUGGUAACUGAAACCAGGUGUGAUCAGCAGGGCAGAAACAGAACUGAGCUCAAAAACAACAAGCAACAAAACUUAGAUCCUCACAUAUGUGGAUAUUUUUUUAUUUUUAAUACUACAGAGACUACUACUUUAAAUGUAAAAUCAGACUAAAUUGUUUGGAAGCAAAUGGAUCUGCUUAAAGUUUCAAAGUGGUUUGGCAUAAGGCGUAUUCAGGAGGCAAGAAGGAGCCUGGAUACAAUCACAGACAUCACCCUGAUUCACACAGCUUUUUGAGGGGUGACAAAGUGCGACAAGCUCCAAAGAGGAAAUGAUGAACACAGAGAGGCCUUUGAUGGAGUCAUUGACUGUGAGAGGUAUCUGGGAUGAAGAGUGUGGAUUCAGACUUGCAGCUCGGAGGGGAGGAGGGGAGAACAAAGAAGACCCAUCCUCGCCUGAGGUACACAAUAACUCAUCACUGUCACAGCUUUGAGUCAUCUUAGUCAUAUGUAUGAAAAACAUUACGAUGCAAAGAUAAACUGAUGGAUGAGGCUAGUACACCUGGAGCAGUGACUUUCACAUGUUUAUCACUAUAGUGUGAGGAGAACUUCAAUUCUAAAAGUGUGGUAGAUAAAUAGUUUGUGUCGC